UAAUAACUUGCUGCAAAACUCUUCCAAAAUUUAAUUCACCCGCCUUUUGCCCUUGUUCAUUUCACUCCAGCUGCUCCUCCCUCUCUCCCCAAUCCGUCUUCGUCUCUCGCACGGUGCGCAAAAAACCUACAGAUUUUUCGUGGGUUUGCUGUUGCGCAUUUGUGUUCAUUGUUGGAGUUCUGAGUUGCUGAUCGAUGGUACAUACGGAGGGGAAAACCAUAAUUUGGUUUUGUUUUGUUUGAGUCCGAGUCUCUGAAAUGGCCCGAGUUUGUAGAGUUUGAUGAUGUUAAUGGAAAUGUGCUAACCUACUCUACACAAGACAGGUACUUUGUCGGUGUUUAUACAGUUUAUUUACGGUGCCAAAUGCACAAUUAUUUUGUGGAUGCUAACAA
Molecule: long non-coding RNA, 392 nt
Organism: Juglans microcarpa x Juglans regia
Lineage: Eukaryota; Viridiplantae; Streptophyta; Magnoliopsida; Fagales; Juglandaceae
Exons: 3
Source: RefSeq, a predicted model, not a curated record